This 209-nucleotide non-coding RNA is filed under the name Streptococcus equinus. Its description in RNAcentral is "FMN riboswitch (RFN element)". It matches the Rfam family "FMN riboswitch aptamer (RFN element)". From Rfam's summary of the family: The RFN element is a highly conserved domain that is found frequently in the 5'-untranslated regions of prokaryotic mRNAs that encode for flavin mononucleotide (FMN) biosynthesis and transport proteins. This element is a metabolite-dependent riboswitch that directly binds FMN in the absence of proteins. Lineage: Bacteria; Bacillati; Bacillota; Bacilli; Lactobacillales; Streptococcaceae. The record is from RNAcentral.
UUUCUUCGGGGCAGGGUGAAAUUCCCGACCGACGGUGUUGUUGUCUUGUUGAUUGUUACUUGCUUUUAUUUCUCGCUGAUGUUUCGCUAUGUCUGUGAGGAGAAGCAAUUACUAAUCAACUUUAUUUGAAAUGAGAGAGCUAAGUCCGUGAGCGUAAGCUGAUCUGGUGUGAUUCCAGAGCCGACAGUAUAGUCUGGAUGGGAGAAGAA